UACGGAGGGUGCAAGCAUUAAUCGGAAUUAUUGGGCGUAAAGGGCGCGUAGGCGGGUAGGUAAGUCAGAUGUGAAAUUUCGGAGCUCAACUUCGAAGCUGCAUUUGAAACUACCGAUCUGGAGGAUAGGCGGAGAAAACGGAAUUCCACGUGUAGCGGUGAAAUGCGUAGAGAUGUGGAAGAACACCUGUGGCGAAAGCGGUUUUCUAGCUUAGGCCUGACGCUGAGGCGCGAAAGCAAGGGGAGCAAACAGG
This 253-nucleotide ribosomal RNA is filed under the name uncultured Parachlamydia sp. Its description in RNAcentral is "partial 16S ribosomal RNA". It matches the Rfam family "Bacterial small subunit ribosomal RNA", at positions 524 to 776 of the family's 1533-position model. Lineage: Bacteria; Pseudomonadati; Chlamydiota; Chlamydiia; Parachlamydiales; Parachlamydiaceae. The record is from RNAcentral.